Molecule: ribosomal RNA, 911 nt
Filed under: Paenibacillus sp. s50-4-u341f
Lineage: Bacteria; Bacillati; Bacillota; Bacilli; Caryophanales; Paenibacillaceae
Description: bacterial SSU rRNA
Rfam family: Bacterial small subunit ribosomal RNA
Source: RNAcentral
CCUGACGGAGCAACGCCGCGUGAGUGAUGAAGGUUUUCGGAUCGUAAAGCUCUGUUGCCAGGGAAGAACGUCCGGUAGAGUAACUGCUGCCGGAGUGACGGUACCUGAGAAGAAAGCCCCGGCUAACUACGUGCCAGCAGCCGCGGUAAUACGUAGGGGGCAAGCGUUGUCCGGAAUUAUUGGGCGUAAAGCGCGCGCAGGCGGCUAUUUAAGUCUGGUGUUUAAACCUUGGGCUCAACCUGGGGUCGCACUGGAAACUGGGUGGCUUGAGUACAGAAGAGGAAAGUGGAAUUCCACGUGUAGCGGUGAAAUGCGUAGAGAUGUGGAGGAACACCAGUGGCGAAGGCGACUUUCUGGGCUGUAACUGACGCUGAGGCGCGAAAGCGUGGGGAGCAAACAGGAUUAGAUACCCUGGUAGUCCACGCCGUAAACGAUGAGUGCUAGGUGUUAGGGGUUUCGAUACCCUUGGUGCCGAAGUUAACACAGUAAGCACUCCGCCUGGGGAGUACGGUCGCAAGACUGAAACUCAAAGGAAUUGACGGGGACCCGCACAAGCAGUGGAGUAUGUGGUUUAAUUCGAAGCAACGCGAAGAACCUUACCAGGUCUUGACAUCCAACUAACGAAGCAGAGAUGCAUCAGGUGCCCUUCGGGGAAAGUUGAGACAGGUGGUGCAUGGUUGUCGUCAGCUCGUGUCGUGAGAUGUUGGGUUAAGUCCCGCAACGAGCGCAACCCUUGACUUUAGUUGCCAGCAGGUCGAGCUGGGCACUCUAGAGUGACUGCCGGUGACAAACCGGAGGAAGGUGGGGAUGACGUCAAAUCAUCAUGCCCCUUAUGACCUGGGCUACACACGUACUACAAUGGCCGGUACAACGGGAAGCGAAGCCGCGAGGCGGAGCCAAUCCCAGCAAAG